This 1090-nucleotide ribosomal RNA is filed under the name Staphylococcus hominis subsp. novobiosepticus. Its description in RNAcentral is "bacterial SSU rRNA". It matches the Rfam family "Bacterial small subunit ribosomal RNA", at positions 379 to 1461 of the family's 1533-position model. Lineage: Bacteria; Bacillati; Bacillota; Bacilli; Caryophanales; Staphylococcaceae. The record is from RNAcentral.
AAGCCUGACGGAGCAACGCCGCGGGAGGAUGAAGGUCUUCGGAUCGUAAAACUCUGUUAUUAGGGAAGAACAAACGUGUAAGUAACUGUGCACGUCUUGACGGUACCUAAUCAGAAAGCCACGGCUAACUACGUGCCAGCAGCCGCGGUAAUACGUAGGUGGCAAGCGUUAUCCGGAAUUAUUGGGCGUAAAGCGCGCGUAGCCGGUUUUUUAAGUCUGAUGUGAAAGCCCACGGCUCAACCGUGGAGGGUCAUUGGAAACUGGAAAACUUGAGUGCAGAAGAGGAAAGUGGAAUUCCAUGUGUAGCGGUGAAAUGCGCAGAGAUAUGGAGGAACACCAGUGGCGAAGGCGACUUUCUGGUCUGUAACUGACGCUGAUGUGCGAAAGCGUGGGGAUCAACCAGGAUUAGAUACCCUGGUAGUCCACCCCGUAAACGAUGAGUGCUAAGUGUUAGGGGGUUUCCGCCCCUUAGUGCUGCAGCUAACGCAUUAAGCAUUCCGCCUGGGGAGUACGACCGCAAGGUUGAAACUCAAAGGAAUUGACGGGGACCCGCCCAAGCGGUGGAGCAUGUGGUUUAAUUCGAAGCAACGCGAAGAACCUUACCAAAUCUUGACAUCCUUUGACCUUUCUAGAGAUAGAAGUUUCCCUUUCGGGGGACAAAGUGACAGGUGGUGCAUGGUUGUCGUCAGCUCGUGUCGUGAGAUGUUGGGUUAAGUCCCGCAACGAGCGCAACCCUUAAGCUUAGUUGCCAUCAUUAAGUUGGGCACUCUAAGUUGACUGCCGGUGACAAACCGGAGGAAGGUGGGGAUGACGUCAAAUCAUCAUGCCCCUUAUGAUUUGGGCUACACACGUGCUACAAUGGACAAUACAAAGGGCAGCGAAACCGCGAGGUCAAGCAAAUCCCAUAAAGUUGUUCUCAGUUCGGAUUGUAGUCUGCAACUCGACUACAUGAAGCUGGAAUCGCUAGUAAUCGUAGAUCAGCAUGCUACGGUGAAUACGUUCCCGGGUCUUGUACACACCGCCCGUCACACCACGAGAGUUUGUAACACCCGAAGCCGGUGGAGUAACCAUUUGGAGCUAGCCGUCGAAG